This 1516-nucleotide long non-coding RNA is filed under the name Zalophus californianus (California sea lion). Its description in RNAcentral is "lncRNA (ENSZCAG00015013136.1)". Lineage: Eukaryota; Metazoa; Chordata; Mammalia; Carnivora; Otariidae. The record is from RNAcentral.
GCAGCAAUCAGCAUUUCUUUAGCACAUGAAUCUGUGGGGUUCAGCUGACCUGGGCAGGGCGGACUUGUGUAUCUGCAGUGACCUGUGGGUAUGCCAAGCAGUUCUGCAGACCUCAUCCAGACUCACUCACGUGUCUGGGGGCUGGAGUGAAUCUUCUAAAUUAACCCCAGAAUAGCUUCAAGAGAGGAACAGGAGGGACUUAAGAUUGUGAAGGUGGAGGAAGAUGUGAUCUGGGACCAGGAAACCUACCAUCGAGAGAACAACUUUUCUAGCCAGAAGGCCUCCUGAAAACUUUUUAGGCACUUUUGUUAUCAGACUCCUGGACCCCGCGAGGCGCUGAGCCGGCUCCGGGAGCUCCGCCGUCAGUGGCUGCGGCCCGAGACGCACAGCAAGGAGCAGAUCGUGGAGCUGCUGGUGCUGGAGCAGUUCCUGACCAUCCUGCCCGAGGAGCUGCAGGCCCGGGUGCGGGAAUAGCACCCGGAGAGCGGGGAGCAGGCGGUGGCUGUGGUUGAAGAUCUGGAGAAGGAGCUUAGUGAGCCUGAGAACCAGGUGAGAGGAGGAAGAUGGGCUCCCAGACGCUGAGUUCUAAACGAAGGGUGAAGUUUGCUGCCUCAGCGGGCUGGCUGCAGCUGGUUCUCAGCUGCUGUGUAAUGAACUGUCCCCAAGCCUAAUGGCUUAAAAAACCCAAACAUUAUCUCUUGGUUUCUGUAAGUCAGGAUUUAGGAAGCAAGUUAGGAGGACGUUUCAUGAGUUUGCAGUGAAGAUUUUUUUUUUUUUUUAACUUGGCGUCUCUUUUUUACCAGUCCUGUAAGGGUGGGGCGAUCUAAUCCACUCUUGAGGUGGAGAGGGAAACUGAGGCACAGAGCAACAGGGCCAUUCAGUGAGUCAGGGCCCAUUACCCAGAACCCAGUCACGGUGAGGUGAGGUAUAGUGCUGGGGUUGCAGAGCUCCUUCAGGAUUGCCUGUUUCAGCCCCAGGCAGUGGGGACCCCACUCCCAGAGAGCAUCUGAAGGCUUGGCCGGGCUGGUGGAUCCACCUCCAGGUUGGCUCCCCUCCAUGGUUGCUGGGAGGGGGCCCCAGUUCCUCACCGGCUGUUGGCAGGAGGGUUCAUUCCCUGCCAAGUGGAUUUCUGCCUAGGGCUCACUGAGUGUCUUCCUGUCUGAGAGAGAGAGAGAGAGAGAGAGAGAGAGAGAGAGAAUGAGGAGGAGCCACAGUGCUUUGUAGGACUUGGUCUCUCCGGUCGUGUACCGUCACUUUUGCCACACAUUCUCUGCCGUAGAAACGAGUCACUAAUACAAUUCCCUCUCCAGGAGGGGGAAUUAGGCUCCACCCUUGAAAGGAAGGCGUGUCCAAGAACUUAGGAGCAUACUUGAAAGCAGCACCAGCACGCCAGGCGACCUUGUUCCCCGCCAUCUGCUCGUGGGCGUGGGAUCACACUCUGGGCCUCGCCCUGUGCCAUUUCUCUACGGAAUGUGUCCUCCGGCUCCAUGUGAUGUCUUCCGUUGAGUUUUACCCU